GCGCUCGCUUCAGCAGCACAUAUACUAAAAUUGGAACGAUACAGAGAAGAUUGGCAUGGUCCCUGCACAAGGCUGACAUGCAAAUUCAUGAAUUAUAUUCAUUUUUU
This is a small nuclear RNA of Chiloscyllium plagiosum (whitespotted bambooshark), 107 nucleotides long. Lineage: Eukaryota; Metazoa; Chordata; Chondrichthyes; Orectolobiformes; Hemiscylliidae. The record is from RefSeq and is a predicted model, not a curated record.